RNAcentral lists this non-coding RNA (26 nucleotides) under Homo sapiens (human). Lineage: Eukaryota; Metazoa; Chordata; Mammalia; Primates; Hominidae. The record is from RNAcentral.
CUGAAAGCCAGUGGUGCAACCCCAUC